Molecule: microRNA precursor, 145 nt
Filed under: Gossypium hirsutum (cotton)
Lineage: Eukaryota; Viridiplantae; Streptophyta; Magnoliopsida; Malvales; Malvaceae
Description: MIR7502 microRNA precursor family
Rfam family: MIR7502 microRNA precursor family
Source: Rfam by way of RNAcentral
UAAUAAAAAUUUCAUCUAUUUUUACUAGUUAAAAAACUAGUGUGCUGAUAGAAUAAUCGGACAAUUACACAAGGCAUGUCACAUUAUCUCAUUUUGACAUACAUGAAUCAAUUUUUAAUAGUAGAAAUAGAUGAAUUUUUUAAUA